UGGGGAAUAUUGCACAAUGGGCGAAAGCCUGAUGCAGCGACGCCGCGUGAGGGAUGACGGCCUUCGGGUUGUAAACCUCUUUCAGCAGGGACGAAGCGCAAGUGACGGUACCUGCAGAAGAAGCACCGGCUAACUACGUGCCAGCAGCCGCGGUAAUACGUAAGGUGCAAGCGUUGUCCGGAAUUACUGGGCGUAAAGAGUUCGUAGGCGGGUUGUCGCGUCGUUUGUGAAAACCAGCAGCUCAACUGCUGGCUUGCAGGCGAUACGGGGAGACUUGAGUACUGCAGGGGAGACUGGAAUUCCUGGUGUAGCGGUGAAAUGCGCAGAUAUCAGGAGGAACACCGGUGGCGAAGGCGGGUCUCUGGGCAGUAACUGACGCUGAGGAACGAAAGCGUGGGUAGCGAACAGG
RNAcentral lists this ribosomal RNA (409 nucleotides) under bacterium. RNAcentral describes it as "partial 16S ribosomal RNA". It matches the Rfam family "Bacterial small subunit ribosomal RNA", at positions 355 to 776 of the family's 1533-position model. The record is from RNAcentral.